GACGAACGCUGGCGGCGUGCUUAACACAUGCAAGUCGAGCGGUAAGGCUCCUUCGGGAGUACACGAGCGGCGAACGGGUGAGUAACACGUGAGCAAUCUGCCCUUCACACGGGGAUAACCCUCGGAAACGAAAGCUAAUACCCGAUACGACCACUUCAGGCAUCUGAUGGUGGUGGAAAGUUCCGGCGGUGAAGGAUGAGCUCGCGGCCUAUCAGCUUGUUGGUGGGGUAACGGCCCACCAAGGCAACGACGGGUAGCCGGCCUGAGAGGGUGACCGGCCACACGGGGACUGAGACACGGCCCAGACUCCUACGGGAGGCAGCAGUGGGGAAUAUUGGACAAUGGGCGAAAGCCUGAUCCAGCAACGCCGCGUGAGGGAUGACGGCCUUCGGGUUGUAAACCUCUUUCAGCAGGGACGAAGCGCAAGUGACGGUACCUGCAGAAGAAGCACCGGCCAACUACGUGCCAGCCGCCGCCGUAA
RNAcentral lists this ribosomal RNA (481 nucleotides) under uncultured bacterium. RNAcentral describes it as "partial 16S ribosomal RNA". It matches the Rfam family "Bacterial small subunit ribosomal RNA", at positions 28 to 523 of the family's 1533-position model. The record is from RNAcentral.